Molecule: ribosomal RNA, 440 nt
Filed under: uncultured bacterium
Lineage: Bacteria
Description: partial 16S ribosomal RNA
Rfam family: Bacterial small subunit ribosomal RNA
Source: RNAcentral
CCUACGGGAGGCAGCAGUGGGGAAUAUUGCACAAUGGGGGAAACCCUGAUGCAGCGACGCCGCGUGAGUGAAGAAGUAAUUCGUUAUGUAAAGCUCUAUCAGCAGGGAAGAAAAUGACGGUACCUGAGUAAGAAGCCCCUGCUAACUACGUGACAGCAGCCGCGGUAAUACGUAGGGGGCAAGCGUUAUCCGGAUUUACUGGGUGGAAAGGGAGCGUAGACGGCAGUGCAAGUCUGGAGUGAAAGGCGGGGGCUCAACCCCCGGACUGCUCUGGAAACUGUACGGCUGGAGUGCAGGAGAGGUAAGUGGAAUUCCUAGUGUAGCGGUGAAAUGCGUAGAUAUUAGGAGGAACACCAGUGGCGAAGGCGGCUUACUGGACUGUAACUGACGUUGAGGCUCGAAAGCGUGGGGAGCAAACAGGAUUAGAUACCCCUGUAGUC